Molecule: small nucleolar RNA, 71 nt
Organism: Lampris incognitus (smalleye Pacific opah)
Lineage: Eukaryota; Metazoa; Chordata; Actinopteri; Lampriformes; Lampridae
Source: RefSeq, a predicted model, not a curated record
UUGUGAUGAAACUUAAACUAAUGCUGGAAUUACCGUCAGAUUGUCCAGUGCUGAUGCUUUGUUUUCUGAAC